UACAGGGGGUGCAAACGUUGCUCGGAAUCAUUGGGCGUAAAGCGCACGUAGGCGGUUCGUUAUGUCGGAUGUGAAAGCCCUUGGCUUAACCGAGGAAGUGCAUCCGAAACUGGCGAGCUAGAGUACUAAAGAGGAUCGCGGAAUUCCCGGUGUAGAGGUGAAAUUCGUAGAUAUCGGGAGGAACACCGGUGGCGAAGGCGGCGAUCUGGGUAGAUACUGACGCUGAGGAGCGAAAGCUAGGGGAGCAAACGGG
RNAcentral lists this ribosomal RNA (253 nucleotides) under uncultured bacterium. RNAcentral's name for it is "partial 16S ribosomal RNA". It matches the Rfam family "Bacterial small subunit ribosomal RNA", at positions 524 to 776 of the family's 1533-position model. The record is from RNAcentral.